Molecule: ribosomal RNA, 520 nt
Filed under: uncultured Glomus
Lineage: Eukaryota; Fungi; Glomeromycota; Glomeromycetes; Glomerales; Glomeraceae
Description: SSU rRNA
Rfam family: Eukaryotic small subunit ribosomal RNA
Source: RNAcentral
AGCAGCCGCGGUAAUUCCAGCUCCAAUAGCGUAUAUUAAAGUUGUUGCAGUUAAAAAAGCUCGUAGUUGAAUUUCGGGAUCAGUACGUUGGUCGUGCUUACGUACGUACUGGCGUUACUGGUUCCUACCUUCUGACGAACCGUCAUGUCAUUAAUUUGGUGUGGCGGGGAAUCAGGACUGUUACUUUGAAAAAAUUAGAGUGUUUAAAGCAGGCUCGCGCUUGAAUACAUUAGCAUGGAAUAAUGAAAUAGGACGUUCGAUCCUAUUUUGUUGGUUUCUAGGAUUGACGUAAUGAUUAAUAGGGAUAGUUGGGGGCAUUAGUAUUCAAUUGUCAGAGGCGAAAUUCUUGGAUUUAUUGAAGACUAACUACUGCGAAAGCAUUUGCCAAGGAUGUUUUCAUUAAUCAAGAACGAAAGUUAGGGGAUCGAAGACGAUCAGAUACCGUCGUAGUCUUAACCAUAAACUAUGCCGACUAGGGAUCGGAUGAUGUUAAUUUUUUAAUGACUCAUUCGGCGCCUUA